Molecule: ribosomal RNA, 566 nt
Filed under: uncultured bacterium
Lineage: Bacteria
Description: bacterial SSU rRNA
Rfam family: Bacterial small subunit ribosomal RNA
Source: RNAcentral
GGCAGCAGUGGGGAAUUUUGGACAAUGGGCGCAAGCCUGAUCCAGCAAUGCCGCGUGCAGGAAGAAGGCCUUCGGGUUGUAAACUGCUUUUGUCAGGGAAGAAAUCCUCUGGGUUAAUACCUCGGGGGGAUGACGGUACCUGAAGAAUAAGCACCGGCUAACUACGUGCCAGCAGCCGCGGUAAUACGUAGGGUGCGAGCGUUAAUCGGAAUUACUGGGCGUAAAGCGUGCGCAGGCGGCUUUGCAAGACAGAGGUGAAAUCCCCGGGCUCAACCUGGGAACUGCCUUUGUGACUGCAAGGCUAGAGUACGGCAGAGGGAGAUGGAAUUCCGCGUGUAGCAGUGAAAUGCGUAGAUAUGCGGAGGAACACCGAUGGCGAAGGCAAUCUCCUGGGCCUGUACUGACGCUCAUGCACGAAAGCGUGGGGAGCAAACAGGAUUAGAUACCCUGGUAGUCCACGCCCUAAACGAUGUCAACUGGUUGUUGGACGGCUUGCUGUUCAGUAACGAAGCUAACGCGUGAAGUUGACCGCCUGGGGAGUACGGCCGCAAGGUUGAAACUCAAAG